Long non-coding RNA from Gallus gallus (chicken), 2839 nucleotides. The record is from Ensembl. NCBI's taxonomy places the organism in Eukaryota, Metazoa, Chordata, Aves, Galliformes, Phasianidae.
UGACAACAGCUAUUUAAGAUAGGGGUAAUCAACAAGUGCCAUGAGGACUGGGAACAUGCAAGGUGGAACACUGGAACUGUAAAGCAUUUUUAUCUAACCAGUAUCUGACUGGUUGACAGGUCAGCCCAACUGAAGAUGUUACUGUAUGCCUUUGGUGAAGAGAGUAGAGGUGUAGUAGACUCAGGUUGUGUCUGGAAAAGCUUAUUAUAAAAAGUACAGAACAAGCUCUAGGCAACCAUGACAAUCUCAAUCUAUUCUAAUAGCUGACUGUACACAAAAGUGGCCUCUGAAGAAACAUGUGUUGACCAAUUAAUUUUUGAGACAUUCUGGCUGUGUCUUAGCAUUUAAAUUGUUGGAAAGGAUGCUGAUCUGUUCCUUCACAUUUAGCAAACAUUCAUUGACUCCAUUAGUCAUUGACUCCAGGAGAUCUUUCAUUCAUCUCAGUAGUUUUGUCUCAGAUUUUUUUUUUUUUUGAUUGAAAAUAUGUGGAUAGUCUUCUCUUAAUACCUAAUCCCCAAUUCUGCAACAAAUUCACAUGUAGAAUUGGCUAACAUUAUGGGUUCAAGAUGUCAGGUAUGUUCAAAGCAAUGAGAAAGAAAAGAAAAGAUUUUGAAAGGUUCCCCUUUCUUAGUAAGCAAAAUUCUUUUUAGUAAUCAUCCAACAAGAGGUGCUAUUCAUUUCACAUCUCUGCAGGAAAGUGUUAACAUAAUAAUGCUUUGUGAUCAUGUGUUAGUUAUUAGGUUCAUAAUGAGUAUAAUACUGUCUUAGUUGUAAUGUUCAUUAAUACAGCAGAAAAAUUCAGUAUGUUAAUGUGUGUUUCUUCAAGAUUAGCCACAGAAAGUGAAAGAACAGGUCUGUGCUAAUACAGCAAAAAUCUAUUAAACUCAUAACCUUUGUGCAUGGAAAAGGAAUUAUUUUAACAGGUUUGUUCCAUUAAUGGCUAUUUGUUUAAGAAGACUUCUUAAUACCAUAAAUUUUCUGCCUGUGCACAUAGAAUAUUCCUUCAGAGAACACAGCUAUUUUUUUUGACAGGUUGUGUUACUGUAAGCUACAGAGUUUUUUUGCAUUAUCUUAAGGAUUUUCUCAAACUAUGUAUUCACAAUGUGUAGAUGCUUUGAAUAUGCACUGGAAUUCUGUGCAGAAUCCAGGCUUGCCGGUGCACAGCAACAGUUCAGCUCAUUUUCCAAAUUCAUCCUUCUCUUCCCAAAUAUUAUUCUGCCAUAACAGAGGGCACAUAAUUUUACAGCUAUUGCUUCUCCUUCUCCCUCUUCUUCUCCCAACAGUGUACCAAAAAUUCCUAUUGCCUAUGGCAAGGAGCUUCAUAUCACCUACCUUUAACUCUACCUUGUGAACUGCCUUUAGAAACAGAAACUCCUUUGAGCUUUCUCUGUCCUUCCAGAUCCACAUCUUUUGUGUAGCACUGACUAUACCCUUUAGAGGAACUGCUUUCUAUCACAUUCGAGCAGAGAUAGUUUAUGUGCCAUCAUGGAAAAGAUUUCACUUUGGCUAAGUAUUUUAAAACUGCAAUAACUUCAGGAAGACAGUGUAAAUCCACUCUAUUCUCUGGACUUCCCUUAAUGCAGCAAAGAAGAAUUCCCACCAUCAAUGGGAGACACUCCACUGCUGGGAAUGACUACAUACAAACUUGCUCCUCUGCAUUCAUGGGUGGGUGAUGAAGGAAAUGCAUCCAUGCUAAGGGGCCAGAGGAAGGGAUCAAGCUGCCAGGGAAAUAAGUCUCUUCAGUCUAUUAAAGUAAUGCAAAAGGAGAAGAGAGUUGAAGACAAUGUCUUUUCGGGGGUCAGAUAUGAUUCCCACUGAUGAAUCUGUUUGGGAUUUUUUAGUUUCCUGUCAGUACAAAAGAUGCAGUCUGUGAUGCUCACUGGUAUUUCCUCUUGGAAGUGGUGUGUAAAAAGUUCAUACACUUUGCCACAUCCUGCAGUAAGAGUUCAUAUCAGUUCUUUCCAAAAGAUUGAUUCCUAGCUUGCUGCAGCACAGUUCAUCAAAUCCUUAAUACAGAGGUGAAUGGAUGGUAGUCUCUUUUUCAUCCAAACAAUUGUAAGCCUGAAUUUGGCUAGCAGCUGUGCUUGUUGGAUGAAGCAUGACUGUUCAGUAUUUGGUUUGUUUGCUAUUGCCAGCAAACAAUACACUGGCAAGUGUUUACACUUUCUUUCUGUUGAUUUUUUUUUAUUGUUGUUUUGGUGCUAUACAAAAGUAUGCAUGAAUAUGUUUCCAGAAUAUAUACUAAUACCUGCGUAGAUGAAGAGAGUAAAGUUUAAAAUGAAAGAAAGUCAUCCGAGGUCGUGUUUUUACCACGUGAGUUGUACUCCACACUGAUUUGUUAGAUUUUUCAUAACAUCAUUUAAAGUCAAUGAGGAACUUCUGCAGCCAAUUCCUUCUGUUUACAUCUCCCUGCUUUUUUUUUUUCCUCUUCGAUUCAUUUAUCUUUUUUGACACUAAAGGAUAAUGACCAGGUAAGCAUCAUUUUCUUGCACAGAAAAGCAGUUGAAGAGUCUGGGAAUGCAAUGGGAAUUCAGUUCUGAGUGCAUUUAUUAGUUCUUUCGUAAGCUUCUGUCUAUAUUAAUGUACUGCAGCAUUUUGCAGAAUAAUAUACUCAUAAGGGCUUCGUAGUCAGCUUUCCUUCUUCAUUCUGAGGACCAACAUGUUAGUUUUUCAACAGCUGUAAUCAGGAAAAUAAGAGCUUUAGUGUUUGCUUCAAACCCUGUAUCUCUAGGCAAUCUGCUGCUAGAAAGCUACUCACAGAGUUAGCAUGAAACUAUUCUAAUUCUGUAUUAAUUGCUGUAAUUAGUUUUUUUGCGUCAUGAUCAGAUCAAGGAAGCCU